Molecule: long non-coding RNA, 1007 nt
Organism: Vidua macroura (Pin-tailed whydah)
Lineage: Eukaryota; Metazoa; Chordata; Aves; Passeriformes; Viduidae
Exons: 3
Source: RefSeq, a predicted model, not a curated record
CGAGGGGGAGGCAGCGCUGGGGCGGCCGCUCCGAUCCCGGCUCCCUCCGUCCCUCGGCGGGCAGCUCCCGCCGGCGAGCCGCUGGCCGGCGGCGGGACCUAUAUGCUCUCGCGGAAGGUUACUGCUGCCCGGCACGGCAGAGCCCGACGGAAGCGGUGCUGAGGCAUCUGAGGCAGCACUUUGUCAAGGAGCGCCUGAUUGGCUAACGGGACUCCGCAAUGGUUAUCUGCUAAGAGUCAAGGCCUCUGAUUGGCCGCGCGGUACCUGCAAUGCGUCAAGUGAGGAUGCUGGGGUGCGCGUGCCAGAGCGCUGCCGGGGGGCGGCCGCGGCCCCGCCGGGAAUGGCGGCCCGCACCGGCGCUGUCCGCAGCACCGGCCAGCUCCGGCCGCUCUCGGCACUUCUGGGCAGCAUCAGCAGUCCCAGCGGAAGAUUUGCCGUCUCUUCGUACUGCUGCAGCUUGCAGCAAUAGCAAUAGCUUUGCUGAUGAGCCAGAGCUGGCAGGAAGAAACUGUUCCUCAGUCAGUGACCUCUUCAGAGCAGGGUUUCUACGUAAAAAAGCGGCAGAAAGACAAAGCCGCUUUUCUCAAUCCUUUUCCACAACACAGGGUACCAGAGGUGCAAAGUGUGGCAGAACAAACCUGCUUGGGCUGUCCUUCCACUGCCCGUGUGAGAAGCGUCUCUUAGACCGCUGCUCCAAGUGACAGCUUGAGUGGCAGCUGGGGGAGGACAUGCACGGCGAAGCGAUGACUGAUCGCUGAAAUAUCUUGCUGAAACGCUGUAAAAUCUUUCAACACAAAAGAGAUGCUUCUGCAAAAUUAGCCCUGAAGUGCGAAGCUGUGCCGAGGCACGCAAGGUCUGCCAUCUUAUGGAGCCUGAAUGGUACUGCCAAAUAACAGAACGUGGAGCUACAUGUUCAUGUUGAAUAAGUGAAUAGUUUGAAUUUUUCCUUUACAGGUGAAAAGGAUUCUUCAGGAAGACCUUAUUACUUUGCUUUUGAAAAGUUUGAG